This 445-nucleotide ribosomal RNA is filed under the name uncultured bacterium. RNAcentral describes it as "partial 16S ribosomal RNA". It matches the Rfam family "Bacterial small subunit ribosomal RNA", at positions 354 to 796 of the family's 1533-position model. The record is from RNAcentral.
GUAGGGAAUAUUGGGCAAUGGAUGCAAGUCUGACCCAGCCAUGCCGCGUGGAGGAAGAAGGUCCUCUGGAUUGUAAACUCCUUUUUUGGGGGAAGAAUAGUUCUCUUGCGAGGGAAUGUGACGGUACCCUAAGAAUAAGCCACGGCUAACUACGUGCCAGCAGCCGCGGUAAUACGUAGGUGGCAAGCGUUGUCCGGAUUUAUUGGGUUUAAAGGGUGCGUAGGUGGUUUGAUAAGUCAGUGGUGAAAGCUGGUUGCUCAACAAUCAAGUUGCCAUUGAUACUGUCGGACUUGAGAGAAGUGGAGGUUCAUGGAAUGGAUGGUGUAGCGGUGAAAUGCAUAGAUAUCAUCCAGAACACCGAUUGCGAAGGCAGGUGGCUGUACCUUAAUCGACGCUGAUGCACGAAAGCAUGGGGAGCAAACAGGAUUAGAUACCCGAGUAGUCC